AUGUGUGUAUUGAAGAAUAAAGGAGGUACGGGGUUUCGUGAUCUUCAUUGCUUUAUUUUAGCCCUGCUUGCGAAACAGGCCAGGCAGUUAAUUGGGAACCCCGAUUCUCUACGUGCCACUAUCUUGGGAGCUAAGUACUUCCCUGAUGGUGAUCUUCUCAACGCUUCGGUAAAAAAGGGGUCAUCUUAUAUGUGGCAAAGUAUCAGCGCAAGGAUCUACACAAUUUAA
RNAcentral lists this ribosomal RNA (228 nucleotides) under Triticum aestivum (bread wheat). RNAcentral's name for it is "partial small subunit ribosomal RNA". Lineage: Eukaryota; Viridiplantae; Streptophyta; Magnoliopsida; Poales; Poaceae. The record is from RNAcentral.